This 213-nucleotide long non-coding RNA is filed under the name Lathyrus oleraceus (garden pea). RNAcentral's name for it is "Pisum sativum (pea) long non-coding RNA (PSAT_LNC010476)". The record is from RNAcentral. Lineage: Eukaryota; Viridiplantae; Streptophyta; Magnoliopsida; Fabales; Fabaceae.
AAAGGAGGAAAUUCUUGCUUGACUUAUACCAUAAAGCUUGCUAUCUCUUGGUUAGAUCCUUCCUCCCUAGCUUUUACUUUAUGUUCUAGGAUAGUCUCUUAUUCUCCUCCCUUUUUUUAGUUUUCAAAUCUACUAUUUCUUUUCAAACCUUCUUGUUUUAAACUUGACCCAUUUUCUCAAUAAACCUUGACUUUUGUCAAGUGAUUUUCAAAA